RNAcentral lists this ribosomal RNA (25 nucleotides) under Tetradesmus bernardii. RNAcentral's name for it is "partial 28S ribosomal RNA". RNAcentral also lists the same sequence under 1 other name. The record is from RNAcentral. Lineage: Eukaryota; Viridiplantae; Chlorophyta; Chlorophyceae; Sphaeropleales; Scenedesmaceae.
GACCUGAGCUCAGGCAAGGCUACCC